RNAcentral lists this ribosomal RNA (448 nucleotides) under uncultured bacterium. Its description in RNAcentral is "bacterial SSU rRNA". It matches the Rfam family "Bacterial small subunit ribosomal RNA", at positions 335 to 804 of the family's 1533-position model. The record is from RNAcentral.
ACUCCUACGGGAGGCAGCAGUGGGGAAUCUUGGACAAUGGGGGCAACCCUGAUCCAGCCAUGCCGCGUGAGUGAAGAAGGCCUUAGGGUCGUAAAGCUCUUUCGCCUGUGAAGAUAAUGACGGUAGCAGGUAAAGAAACCCCGGCUAACUCCGUGCCAGCAGCCGCGGUAAUACGGGAGGGGGUUAGCGUUGUUCGGAAUUACUGGGCGUAAAGCGCGCGUAGGCGGACCAGAAAGUUGGGGGUGAAAUCCCGGGGCUCAACCCCGGAACUGCCUCCAAAACUCCUGGUCUUGAGUUCGAGAGAGGUGAGUGGAAUUCCGAGUGUAGAGGUGAAAUUCGUAGAUAUUCGGAGGAACACCAGUGGCGAAGGCGGCUCACUGGCUCGAUACUGACGCUGAGGUGCGAAAGUGUGGGAGCAAACAGGAUUAGAUACCCUGGUAGGACAGUG